ACCUGCGAAGAUGAAUGAAGCGCAUUCAUGAAUCUCAAGCGUCAUUUAUCAGACUGCCUCAUUAAAUAAGACGCUUUAGUGAUGUUCUAUCCAUAAGUACAUUCAUGAUUCGUGUAAAAGUAACGCAAGAGAUCAAGCAAGAACACACUAGAAUUUUACGGUAUCAAAAUAUAGUUUUAACUCUUUAAAAAUAAAAAUUUCUACUAUUUUUGAACGACUAAUGUAUACAUUAAUAUUGUUCAAAUGCGUAUAAUCUUUAUAGACAAGCAUUUAUGUUUUACAUUUUUUCUAAACUAUAUUUUUUAGGAUCAAUAAGCAACCAUCCUCCAACUUUUUCCUGCAUCGAACAUCGAGUUAGAUUGUUAAACAGUCACGUGUUUGAUAGAUCGUCUCCUCGAGAAGCCACAAGUGAAGUACUAUUUGCAAGAAAAGCCGGUUCUUUCGACGGAACAACAGAGAGAGAGAGUCGUCAUAAAAAUACAAACGAGGAACAGGAGCAUCAGAUAAAAUCAAUCUGUCGAAAGACGUGCGGAAAUAUUCCUGCCGGUUGGGAUGAAUGAAACAUACGUGGGAAGCGCCACGCAAUGUAGGAAAAUAGCUUUUAAAGGAAAUGCUCGUCGGCUACGGAUUCCCGACGAUUUCCUGACACUAUCCGUAUUAUGAUCAAACGCGGUAACAGGAGAAACAAAUCCAUCGCACCAGCGAAUAUUGAAUAAUUCAACUGAGUCUAUCCUUGGGCGUCUACAAAGCAGAAGAGAGACAGAGGGAAACGAGCGAGUUAUGUCACGCGAAAAGGGUGACGAUGUAUUGUCUCGCUUCUUGCACAAUGAAGUGACUAAAGUUCUAUCUAUUUUACGUUUAUCAGAGAAACGCAAAGCAAGACAAAUAUACUGGAAAAGAAAUAUCCUCGCACACUCGGCUAGCCGCGAUGAAGACUAAGGAGAAGAAAAACUUUAAAAAGCCUCAUGACGACAAUAUUUAACGUGCAUACAUAUAAAAUAUCUCGGACUGCUCUGGAGGGAGAUAGUAACACAGAUACAGCCUAUGUUAAUUUCAAUAGAUUACGCAGUCACGAUAAUUAUAUGGUUCAUACGUAUUUCAAGGCUGACUCGGAAAUUUCUGUUUACAUUAGUGUUUUUCGAACUAUGAGUCGUGAUUCAUUAUUGAAACGUCUUUGUGCGAGCCGCAGACCACAGUCCACGCACAUCACGCACGUUUCACCAGAAGCGACAUUUCAUUGUGUGUAUGUGGAAAGUCUCAUUUAUCGACAAAAAAAAAGACGUUUCCCCGUAUUCAUGAUGCAAUUGUGAUCCGUGUGAACACGAGCUUUCAAGGAACAGAAAUAACCGCAAUUCUCAUGACUUCUAAUAGACAGGACAAAAAAUUUUGUGUGUGAAUAACACUGCGCAAAAUAUCCUACACUAAUAAUUCUUUUUUAAAGAAUUUUUAUAAUAAAAUAUAUUUUCUCAGAGAGAUUUUUCCUUAGAUUUCUCGUAAGAAAUAGUCUAAAAAAAGUUAUAUAAAAAGUUGUAUAAAAAAUUAAAGCAUAUAUGCGAUAGACUUUUAAGCUUAAUAUAGAUGAUCUUUUUUUUUUAGUCAAUGUCACGAGAGCCCAACACCUGAAGGUCUCAAACAGAUGCUAUAUCCAGAACAUUUCGUAUUUGUCAAACACAUUACAUACUGAUCGAGAAUGCUCCGCAUGACUCCGCAUAAGGACCCACAAGAUCGUCUACGAAACAAAUUCACGAUCGCUAACUUUGCGAAAGGCGUUUUAUGCGAAGCUCGUGCCCGCUCGCAUGCCUGGGCGGCACGCACCACGAUCCUAUUAAUAUCUCGCAAGAGAGCGUAAAAGGGCGCAAAUGCGAAAGACACCGAGGGGGGAAGCUGGCGACGCAGAGAUAUUUUUAAAGACAUCGAUUUUCGCGAUUUGCCCUUCUCUCAAGCCGGAUUUAAUUAGAUAAGAAACGAGGCAAAACCGUUCGUGUUCAGCCGUGAUUUGGCGGAAGAGGAACGUGGAAAAAAAUGCGCGACUGGGAAGGAAGAGCCUUUCCAUUUGUGGCGCGCAAUUAAGCGCCGCGCGCUCGCGCGACUGCGUUAUUCAUCGCCCGUUAACCGUAUAAUUAGCCAAUUGCUAAUUGCCCGAGUUCACAUGAGCCUGAGCGACGGGGGCCAGUUUGCUUGGCCCAGGCGCAUUAAUCACUCGGUCGUCUCAUAUGAUCCUCUCGACACGAAUCGAAUCAGGUCAACGUAAUGUCAGAGGAACAUCAAGUGUCUUGGUCAAAAGUAUAAUGUGCAAUUGUAACAAAAGCUUUAGCACUCGAUGUGUGCAUAAAUUAGCAAGAUUAUCUCCCACUUUUAUAGUUGUAGCAAUCCUUUCUAUAAAUAUUAUUCAUUAAGUUAAAUACAAUUUAACCCUUUGUCUUUUUCAUUUCUUUACUUCUAAUUUUACAAGGUUUUGUUGAAAAUAUAAUAAUAGACUUUAUGUUAACUAAUACCUAGAAGAUAUUGAUGCAAAAUAACUUGGAAUCUUAAAUAUUAUACUCUAGCACUCCAUUUACAACCUCUUAUGAUAAUUAAACUCUUAGUAAUUAUCCUGAAUGUAAUAAGAGAACGACUAGAUAAAAUUGAACAAAAACUUCUUAUUUUGUAUUAAUAAAUGAUAGAUACUUUUAC
Solenopsis invicta (red fire ant) is the source of this 2673-nucleotide long non-coding RNA. RefSeq lists it as uncharacterized. The record is from RefSeq and is a predicted model, not a curated record. The transcript is spliced from 4 exons. NCBI's taxonomy places the organism in Eukaryota, Metazoa, Arthropoda, Insecta, Hymenoptera, Formicidae.